This 253-nucleotide ribosomal RNA is filed under the name uncultured bacterium. RNAcentral describes it as "partial 16S ribosomal RNA". It matches the Rfam family "Bacterial small subunit ribosomal RNA", at positions 524 to 776 of the family's 1533-position model. The record is from RNAcentral.
UACGGGGGGUGCAAGCGUUAUCCGGAUUUACUGGGUUUAAAGGGUGUGUAGGCGGGCUUUUAAGUCAGUGGGGAAAUCUCCGGGCUCAACCUGGAAACUGCCAUUGAUACUAUUAGUCUUGAAUUUUGUUGAGGUAGGCGGAAUAAGUCAUGUAGCGGUGAAAUGCAUAGAUAUGACUUAGAACACCAAUUGCGAAGGCAGCUUGCUAAACAAAUAUUGACGCUGAGGCACGAAAGCGUGGGGAUCAAACAGG